GGAAGGAUCAUUAAAGUAUAUUGAAUUCUAAUUCAUAUCUACCCACCCUGUGUACCUUCUUACUGUUGCUUCCAUGGGACUUGGCUACGCCACGUCGGCCUCUGGGCUGGUGAGCUCCCAUGGGAGGAAAUCAAAACUCCUUUUUGUACAUGACGUCUGUCUGAAGUGUUUGUUAUAAACGUUAAAACUUUCAACAACGGAUCUCUUGGUUCUCGCAUCGAUGAAGAACGCAGCGAAAUGCGAUAAGUAGUGUGAAUUGCAGAAUUCAGUGAAUCAUCGAAUCUUUGAACGCACAUUGCGCCUCCUGGUAUUCCGGGAGGCAUGCCUGUCCGAGCGUCAUCAAAAACCUCAGUCUCUGAUUCAUCAUUGAUUGGCCCUGCUUCGGAUGCUUUGUGCAUCCCCUGCGAAAUUCAAUGGCGAGGAGCCACGCAGCCCUAGCGUAGUAUUAGUAUCUCGCGACGGAUGUGUGAGCGCUUCUGCCGAAACCCCCCUAUAUCUUAGUUUUUGACCUCGGAUCAGGUAGGGAUACCCGCUGAACUUAAGCAUAUCAAUAAGCGGAGGAAAAGAAACCAACAGGGAUUGCCUUAGUAACUGCGAGUGAAGCGGCAAAAGCUCAAAUUUGAAAUCUGACGCUUCCGGCGUCCGAGUUGUAAUUUGGAGAGACCUCUUCGGGAGUGAAAGCCGGUCCAAGUUCCUUGGAACAGGACGUCACAGAGGGUGAGAAUCCCGUGUCUGGCCGGCUGUUUCAUUCCAUGUGAAGAAUCUUCGACGAGUCGAGUUGUUUGGGAAUGCAGCUCAAAAUGGGUGGUAAAUUUCAUCUAAAGCUAAAUAUUGGCGAGAGACCGAUAGCGCACAAGUAGAGUGAUCGAAAGAUGAAAAGCACUUUGAAAAGAGAGUUAAAAAGUACGUGAAAUUGUUGAAAGGGAAGCGCUUGAGACCAGACUCAAUUUGUGGUGAUCAGCAGUCCAUCUGGGCUGUGCACUUGCCAUACAUUGGGACAGCAUCGGUUCUGACCGUGUGAUAAAGGCUCGGGGAAUGUGGCUCCUCUCGGGGAGCGUUAUAGCCCUGGGCGCAAUGGCACGAGUUGAGACCGAGGACCGCGCUUCGGCUAGGAUGCUGUCAUAAUGGUCUUCAGCGACCCGUCUUGAAACACGGACCAAGGAGUCUAACAUCUAUGCGAGUGUUCGGGUGGAAAACCCCUGCGCGUAAUGAAAGUGAACGGAGGUGGGAACCCUUCGGGGUGCACCAUCGACCGAUCCUGAUGUCUUCGGAUGGAUUUGAGUAAGAGCAUAGCUGUUGGGACCCGAAAGAUGGUGAACUAUGCCUGAAUAGGGUGAAGCCAGAGGAAACUCUGGUGGAGGCUCGCAGCGGUUCUGACGUGCAAAUCGAUCGUCAAAUUUGGGUAUAGGGGCGAAAGACUAAUCGAACCAUCUAGUAGCUGGUUCCUGC
RNAcentral lists this unclassified non-coding RNA (1449 nucleotides) under uncultured fungus. Its description in RNAcentral is "sequence contains 18S rRNA gene, ITS1, 5.8S rRNA gene, ITS2, 28S rRNA gene". The stretch from base 506 to 1449 matches the Rfam family "Eukaryotic large subunit ribosomal RNA", at positions 1 to 961 of the family's 3401-position model. The record is from RNAcentral. Lineage: Eukaryota; Fungi.